RNAcentral lists this transfer RNA (82 nucleotides) under Triparma laevis. Its description in RNAcentral is "tRNA-Leu". It matches the Rfam family "tRNA". From Rfam's summary of the family: Transfer RNA (tRNA) molecules are approximately 80 nucleotides in length. Their secondary structure includes four short double-helical elements and three loops (D, anti-codon, and T loops). Lineage: Eukaryota; Bolidophyceae; Parmales; Triparmaceae. The record is from RNAcentral.
GCCGAAGUGGUGGAAUUGGUAGACACGCUGGGUUUAGGUUCCAGUUCCGUAGGAAGUAGGGGUUCAAGUCCCCUCUUCGGUA